AUUUGAGACUGCUCAGGAGCCUGGACCCAGCUGAUGCAGCUCCUUGUCCUUCCUGAGCGUCUUCACUGACAGUGGCCUGAGAGCCCCUGAAAGUGCUCACCGUGAGCGGCUGGUACCUGUCCCCUGGGAACUGCAAGAUGCACAGGACCUUGUGUACCUGUUUGUGAUCACAGCCGAGGACCAGCGAGGUAGCAUUACCACAUCCACACAGGGCUUUUACCAUAACUGCCCCAGUACUGGAACGAGGAGCUGCAGAUGAUGAGGGACCUACCCAACAAGAACCAACCUGAGCAGCUGCUUCAAGAAAAAGCCAUGUUCAAGGUGCCUGAAUCCCCUGGUAAGUGAGUGACAGCCUCACAGCCUCAGGCCCACCUGGCUCCUGCUGGAAGGUUUUCUUGUGCUCGGGAGAGAAGUGAGGGAAGCCGGCAGUCCCAGCCCUGUCAGGUGCCCUGAAGGCCCGUCAGGUUUGCCCUGCAAGGCCUUCUAGCAUUCUGCUUCCUGGGAGACCAUCCCCCACCUUUCUCCGGCCUCUGAGACUUUGAGUCCUUGGGAGGAGAAGGCCCUCCUUGCUAUCUGGGCUGAGUGGCCAGGGCCAUCCAGCUUCCCACCCUCCACUGACUGCCAUGGGGCCCUCCCCUGAGCACAUGGUGCCCAACUGUAGCCCUUCUAGGGCAGGGGCUCAUUGGCAGCACUUGCAGCUUGCUGGCACUUAAAAGUCAUUAGUGCGGUUACUGAGAGAAAUGAGGAAAAAAUAAUUGUUAAAAAAAAAAAAAAAUCUCUCCUAAACUUACUGUGUAACAUGGAAGAAGUAACAGCCAAAAUUUCUUGGGUACUAACUUUACCAGGAUGAUUCCAAGUGCUUUAUAAGCAUUAUUUCCUAUAAUCUUUUGGACCCCUUGUAAAUGUCAAUACUUUCCAUCAUCAUCGUUGCAUAGACAAGAAACUGGGUCUGAAGUUACCUGCCCUGGUUUGCCUGGCACAUAGCUGGUGGAUCCCAAACCUGCCGCAGCCCUCAUACUCCUUGGUAGCCACUAAACUCUGUGCCUCUUUAAGCAUAAGUGUUUACUUUUUUGUAGAAAUGAUUUUCUUGCCCU
Molecule: long non-coding RNA, 1094 nt
Filed under: Homo sapiens (human)
Lineage: Eukaryota; Metazoa; Chordata; Mammalia; Primates; Hominidae
Description: non-protein coding lnc-ZNF720-1:9
Source: RNAcentral